AAAUACAUCGCAAAUAUGGGCAAAGAAUAAGCAGUGCAUAUAAAGAAAAAUUUAGGUAUUUUUAUGCUUAUUUCUUUAUAUGCUCUGCUUCUUCUUUGGCCAUAUUUGCAGUGUAUUUA
Molecule: microRNA precursor, 119 nt
Filed under: Pelobates cultripes (western spadefoot toad)
Lineage: Eukaryota; Metazoa; Chordata; Amphibia; Anura; Pelobatidae
Source: RNAcentral